RNAcentral lists this ribosomal RNA (396 nucleotides) under uncultured bacterium. RNAcentral's name for it is "partial 16S ribosomal RNA". It matches the Rfam family "Bacterial small subunit ribosomal RNA", at positions 523 to 918 of the family's 1533-position model. The record is from RNAcentral.
AUACAGAGGGUGCAAGCGUUAAUCGGAUUUACUGGGCGUAAAGCGCGCGUAGGUGGCUAAUUAAGUCAAAUGUGAAAUCCCCGAGCUUAACUUGGGAAUUGCAUUCGAUACUGGUUAGCUAGAGUAUGGGAGAGGAUGGUAGAAUUCCAGGUGUAGCGGUGAAAUGCGUAGAGAUCUGGAGGAAUACCGAUGGCGAAGGCAGCCAUCUGGCCUAAUACUGACACUGAGGUGCGAAAGCAUGGGGAGCAAACAGGAUUAGAUACCCUGGUAGUCCAUGCCGUAAACGAUGUCUACUAGCCGUUGGGGCCCUUGAGGCUUUAGUGGCGCAGCUAACGCGAUAGGUAGACCGCCUGGGGAGUACGGUCGCAAGACUAAAACUCAAAUGAAUUGGCGGGG